UACGGGGGGGGCAAGCGUUGUUCGGAAUUACUGGGCGUAAAGGGCUCGUAGGUGGCCAACUAAGUCAGACGUGAAAUCCCUCAGCUUAACUGGGGAACUGCGUCUGAUACUGGAUGGCUUGAGUUUGGGAGAGGGAUGCGGAAUUCCAGGUGUAGCGGUGAAAUGCGUAGAUAUCUGGAGGAACACCGGUGGCGAAGGCGGCGUUCUGGACUGCAACUGACACUGAGGAACGAAAGCCAGGGGAGCAAACGGG
Molecule: ribosomal RNA, 253 nt
Filed under: uncultured bacterium
Lineage: Bacteria
Description: partial 16S ribosomal RNA
Rfam family: Bacterial small subunit ribosomal RNA
Source: RNAcentral